GAACUUAAGCAUAUCAAUAAGCGGAGGAAAAGAAACCAACAGGGAUUGCUUAGUAACGGCGAGUGAAGCGGCAACAGCUCAAAUUUGAAAUCUGGCCUUAGGGUCCGAGUUGUAAUUUGUAGAGGAUGUUUUGGGUACCGUUGCAGUUUAAAUUUCUUGGAACAGAAUGUCAGAGAGGGUGAGAGUCCCGUCUGGAACUGCGGUAGGGCCUAUGUAAAACUCCUUCGACGAGUCGAGUUGUUUGGGAAUGCAGCUCUAAAUGGGUGGUAAAUUUCAUCUAAAGCUAAAUAUUGGCCAGAGGCCGAUAGCGCACAAGUAGAGUGAUCGAAAGAUGAAAAGCACUUUGAAAAGAGAGUUAAACAGUAUGUGAAAUUGUUGAAAGGGAAGCGCUUGCAACCAGACUUGAGUAUUGCGGUUCCCCCUUGCUUUUGCUUGGGUUACUCCGUUUUAUCCAGGCCAACAUCGGUUCUAGGGGUUGGUUAAAGACCUUAGGAAUGUAUCUACCUCCGGGUAGACUUAUAGCCUAGGGUGUCAUGCAACCUCCCGGGACCGAGGGACGCGCUUCGGCGAGGAUGUUGGCGUAAUGGUUGUAAGCGACCCGUCUUGAAACACGGACCAAGGAGUCUAACAUCUAUGCGAGUGUUUGGGUGUCAAACCCGUACGCGGAAUGAAAGUAAACGGAGGUAAGAAGCCUUAAGGCUGCAUUAUCGACCGAUCCUGAUAUUUAUGGAUGGAUUUGAGUAAGAGCAUAGCUGUUGGGACCCGAAA
RNAcentral lists this ribosomal RNA (768 nucleotides) under uncultured fungus. Its description in RNAcentral is "eukaryotic LSU rRNA". It matches the Rfam family "Eukaryotic large subunit ribosomal RNA", at positions 30 to 821 of the family's 3401-position model. Lineage: Eukaryota; Fungi. The record is from RNAcentral.